GUGAAUCAUCGAAUUUUUGAACGCAAAUUGCGCCUUUUUCGGAAGGCAUGUCUGUUUGAGGGCACCAUUUAACAAAUAAUGUGCAUUUUUGUGUGCACACGUUGAUGAGCUUUCCAAAAUUAUGUAUUAUUUUUGGUGGCGCAUAAUAAACAGCGCGAUGCUUUUUUUCGGUCGGGGUGAAUAAAAUUUUUUCUUUGCUGGGGUGGUGAAAAGGGUGAUUG
RNAcentral lists this unclassified non-coding RNA (221 nucleotides) under Paraglomus occultum. Its description in RNAcentral is "partial contains 5.8S ribosomal RNA and internal transcribed spacer 2". The stretch from base 1 to 65 matches the Rfam family "5.8S ribosomal RNA", at positions 84 to 154 of the family's 154-position model. Lineage: Eukaryota; Fungi; Glomeromycota; Glomeromycetes; Paraglomerales; Paraglomeraceae. The record is from RNAcentral.